Molecule: ribosomal RNA, 1593 nt
Filed under: Salmonella enterica
Lineage: Bacteria; Pseudomonadati; Pseudomonadota; Gammaproteobacteria; Enterobacterales; Enterobacteriaceae
Description: partial 23S ribosomal RNA
Rfam family: Bacterial large subunit ribosomal RNA
Source: RNAcentral
GGUAGGGGAGCGUUCUGUAAGCCUGUGAAGGUGUGUCGUGAGGCAUGCUGGAGGUAUCAGAAGUGCGAAUGCUGACAUAAGUAACGAUAAAGCGGGUGAAAAGCCCGCUCGCCGGAAGACCAAGGGUUCCUGUCCAACGUUAAUCGGGGCAGGGUGAGUCGACCCCUAAGGCGAGGCCGAAAGGCGUAGUCGAUGGGAAACGGGUUAAUAUUCCCGUACUUGGUGUUACUGCGAAGGGGGGACGGAGAAGGCUAUGUUGGCCGGGCGACGGUUGUCCCGGUUUAAGCGUGUAGGUGUGUGUUCCAGGUAAAUCCGGUUCACUUUAACACUGAGGCGUGACGACGAGGCACUACGGUGCUGAAGCAACAAAUGCCCUGCUUCCAGGAAAAGCCUCUAAGCAUCAGGUAACAUCAAAUCGUACCCCAAACCGACACAGGUGGUCAGGUAGAGAAUACCAAGGCGCUUGAGAGAACUCGGGUGAAGGAACUAGGCAAAAUGGUGCCGUAACUUCGGGAGAAGGCACGCUGACACGUAGGUGAAGUGAUUUACUCAUGGAGCUGAAGUCAGUCGAAGAUACCAGCUGGCUGCAACUGUUUAUUAAAAACACAGCACUGUGCAAACACGAAAGUGGACGUAUACGGUGUGACGCCUGCCCGGUGCCGGAAGGUUAAUUGAUGGGGUCAGCGCAAGCGAAGCUCCUGAUCGAAGCCCCGGUAAACGGCGGCCGUAACUAUAACGGUCCUAAGGUAGCGAAAUUCCUUGUCGGGUAAGUUCCGACCUGCACGAAUGGCGUAAUGAUGGCCAGGCUGUCUCCACCCGAGACUCAGUGAAAUUGAACUCGCUGUGAAGAUGCAGUGUACCCGCGGCAAGACGGAAAGACCCCGUGAACCUUUACUAUAGCUUGACACUGAACAUUGAGCCUUGAUGUGUAGGAUAGGUGGGAGGCUUUGAAGUGUGGACGCCAGUCUGCAUGGAGCCGACCUUGAAAUACCACCCUUUAAUGUUUGAUGUUCUAACGUGGACCCGUUACCCGGGUUGCGGACAGUGUCUGGUGGGUAGUUUGACUGGGGCGGUCUCCUCCUAAAGAGUAACGGAGGAGCACGAAGGUUGGCUAAUCCUGGUCGGACAUCAGGAGGUUAGUGCAAUGGCAUAAGCCAGCUUGACUGCGAGCGUGACGGCGCGAGCAGGUGCGAAAGCAGGUCAUAGUGAUCCGGUGGUUCUGAAUGGAAGGGCCAUCGCUCAACGGAUAAAAGGUACUCCGGGGAUAACAGGCUGAUACCGCCCAAGAGUUCAUAUCGACGGCGGUGUUUGGCACCUCGAUGUCGGCUCAUCACAUCCUGGGGCUGAAGUAGGUCCCAAGGGUAUGGCUGUUCGCCAUUUAAAGUGGUACGCGAGCUGGGUUUAGAACGUCGUGAGACAGUUCGGUCCCUAUCUGCCGUGGGCGCUGGAGAACUGAGGGGGGCUGCUCCUAGUACGAGAGGACCGGAGUGGACGCAUCACUGGUGUUCGGGUUGUCAUGCCAAUGGCACUGCCCGGUAGCUAAAUGCGGAAGAGAUAAGUGCUGAAAGCAUCUAAGCACGAAACUUGCCCCGA